Sphaerodactylus townsendi is the source of this 956-nucleotide long non-coding RNA. RefSeq lists it as uncharacterized. The record is from RefSeq and is a predicted model, not a curated record. NCBI's taxonomy places the organism in Eukaryota, Metazoa, Chordata, Lepidosauria, Squamata, Sphaerodactylidae. The transcript is spliced from 5 exons.
CUUUCAAACUAAGAAUGAACUCUAUUUCUCAAUCUCUGCCUCUGUAGUUUGCUGGGAAAUGGUAUGCCAUUGGAAUAGUGAACUCUAAUGGACCACCUGAGCAUAUCCCAGUCCUAGACCAUACAGUGGAAACCUUGCCGAAUGGGGACCUCCUUAUACGAACACGAACACAGGUCCCUGAGAAGAACAAAUGCAAGAAGAAAAAUAUUCAUUUGACACACAGUGAUCAUCCUGGAGUGUUCACUACUGCAACGAAGCACAUCUUCACUGUGGUGGAGGCAGAAUAUGGAAGUUACUACAUUCUUUACAUUGAAACGCCUGAAAAAAAUAUUUUGCAAUUUUUUGCCAGGAAACCAGAAGUGCCUAUAAUGAUGAAAAGUAUGUACCUGAGCCACGUGCAGUCCCUUGGAUUUAAACGGAAGUUUGUCCUUUAUUUGAACAUCAUUGAUUGGUGCCGUUAGCUGGAUCCAAGGAAUAUGCUCCCCUCGGUUGCUGGGCAUUUUGCCAUCUCACGGAUCAGUUGCCCCUUACAUUAAUAAUUUAAUUUCCUCACAACAGUGAACAUGCCUUUUCAUUAACCAUAAUAAACACAUUACCUUCUGCUCUAUUCCAGGGAAGAUUUAACAAAAUCCCACUUAGACAAACUCUGUCCUUUUUCCUUGAAGGAGACAGAAACUGUUCAGCAUGUACUUUUGUGCCAUUGGUUUUAUGCAAACAUUCAGAAAACUUGAAUUCAUCCUCUGAAAAACUCAUGUAGCAGCUCCUCUGAUGAGAGAAUUGUGACCUACUUAUUCGCUGAUUUUGACCCAAUUGUUAUUAAUACAGUAGCUAAAUUUCUUGUUUUAGUGAUAAGAUUAAAAGAACAACAGAGUUAGGCCCCUUCCGCACAUGCAGAAUAGUGCACUUUCAAUCCACUUUCAAUGCACUUUGCAGCUGGAUUUUACUGUGCGGAAUAG